RNAcentral lists this ribosomal RNA (498 nucleotides) under uncultured bacterium. Its description in RNAcentral is "partial 16S ribosomal RNA". It matches the Rfam family "Bacterial small subunit ribosomal RNA", at positions 28 to 506 of the family's 1533-position model. The record is from RNAcentral.
GAUGAACGCUGGCGGCGUGCCUAAUACAUGCAAGUCGAGCGAACAGACGAGAGUGCUUGCACUCUCUGACGUUAGCGGCGGACGGGUGAGUAACACGUGGGUAACCUACCUAUAAGACUGGGAUAACUUCGGGAAACCGGAGCUAAUACCGGAUAAUAUUUAGCUUCGCAUGAAGCAAUAGUGAAAGACGGUUCUGCUGUCACUUAUAGAUGGACCCGCGGUGUAUUAGCUAGUUGGUGAGGUAACGGCUCACCAAGGCAACGAUACGUAGCCGACCUGAGAGGGUGAUCGGCCACACUGGGACUGAGACACGGCCCAGACUCCUACGGGAGGCAGCAGUAGGGAAUCUUCCGCAAUGGACGAAAGUCUGACGGAGCAAUGCCGCGUGAGUGAAGAAGGUUUUCGGAUCGUAAAACUCUGUUGUAAGGGAAGAACAAGUACGUUAGUAACUGAACGUACCUUGACGGUACCUUACCAGAAAGCCACGGCUAACUACGU